GACCCCAGGGUCUUCAACAUCCUGCAGCUUUCAUCCGUCCUUCGGAUGAACAGUUUCCCACAGCUGCUCCUGCCCCACACAGCUGUUGUCUGUGGAGGCCUGCAGCCAUGUGGCCGGCCACAGAAAUGGGUGUUCCUCUCCUCCACUGCAGGACUCUUCCUGCUCCGUUGGUGACCAGCCUUCCCCACACCCCACAUCCUGAAGCUCCCGGACCGCCUGCAUGUGCAGCAGCAGGCAGCAGGGCUUGCAUGGCUGGUACCAGGAACAGCUACAGCUCUGAUUCAUAUGCAUGGAGACAUCAUAUUAUUUGGACACAUUCUGCCUGGCCACCAGUCCAAGUAACCACAGGGCUCAGGACCCUUAGAGCCCUUUCUUUCUCUCCCCCACAGCCAGCAGCAUCUUGGCUUCCUGUAUUGUCUGCCUGCACUAACAGGCCUCUCCUGCCAUCUCCCACACUCUACCUCAAGCACUGAGCCUCUGCCCCACAUGAGGCGCUGUCUAUCACCCUAUACUGACUUCAUGUUCCCAGCUCACCUCUUGCUGAGACUAUUUAUUGUCUGCCGCCCUCCUUGAGAGUUCCCUGUAUCCCCCGUGAGGGGAGCCACAGCAACAUACUUGUGUUGUGAGGUGGUGUGUCAUCUAGAGCGAUAGCUCUACCCUCCAUAUCCACAGAGACGUAUAGAGACUGGACCCAGAACCAACAGCCAUUGUCAUUCCUCGGUCUCCGUCUUCUUUCCUGCCUUCUUCAGUCAGCUGCUGUUGGCAGAGUCCGUAAUAUGUUUAAUGGACUGUGAUAAUAACUGCUUGUGAGGUUCCUGCUGUUACAAAGCACAGAGCUAGCAUCUUAACCGGAUGCAGGGUAUUAUUGCGCAGCUUACAUUUUGGUGGACCAGGAAGGUCUUCCAUUCAAACACUCUCCAGACAGAGGCGGUAUUCUGAGGAGUUGUAGACUCUUCUGCAGUCGGAGACUACCAGAGGAAGAUGGCCAUCAGAGGCUUGGUUCCACUUCCUGUUUGUCCACCAAACGUGAGCAUGCAGCAUCUCCUCCCGCCACCACAGGCACAAGCUCUUCCUGUCUCCAUGACGCCUCGCCAUGGUGGACUGCUCUUGGCUGGUGUUCGGUCACAGUGAUGAGACACAUCCCUCACACACACCCACAGAACUAUUGCCGUCAGCCAUUCUCCUCCAGGAGCCAAGCAGCUGCUCUCGAGGCGCUCCAUCCUGAACUCUUACCCUCAGGCUUCCGAAUGGCCUCAGGCCAUAGAAGUACUAAAGAAGAGACUAUGGGAUGGGGGGAGGGGUGUAAGGGGGAGGGGGGAGGUAUAUACUCCUGACUUAUCCCUGCCAAGCUGCCAUAGGUUGAAGAUUUUUCAGCUCUUGUUGGUGACCUUUCCCAUGAAGGGCCCCUGGCAGGAGGAGGCAAUUGCUCUUUUCUCUCUGCCAAGGGUGUAUGGCGGCAGCCUCGCCCUCCAAACCCCAGACUCUGUACUACCUGUGGUUUCCCUAAACUCUGCCUACAGCUUUCCAAGGACCCUUCAUUAAAUGUUUCUCAGACUACCUAA
This is a long non-coding RNA of Mus musculus (house mouse), 1562 nucleotides long. RefSeq annotates it as predicted gene 12958. The record is from RefSeq and is a predicted model, not a curated record. The transcript has 2 exons. NCBI's taxonomy places the organism in Eukaryota, Metazoa, Chordata, Mammalia, Rodentia, Muridae.